UACGUAGGUGGCAAGCGUUGUCCGGAUUUAUUGGGUUUAAAGGGUGCGUAGGCGGCUUUGUAAGUCAGUAGUGAAAUACCCCAGCUCAACUGGGGGGGUGCUAUUGAUACUGCAUGGCUUGAGUACAGAUGAGGUAGGCGGAAUUGACGGUGUAGCGGUGAAAUGCAUAGAUACUAUCAAGAACACCGAUUGCGAAGGCAGCUUACUAGGCUGUAACUGACGCUGAGGCACGAAAGCGUGGGGAUCAAACAGG
RNAcentral lists this ribosomal RNA (253 nucleotides) under uncultured bacterium. RNAcentral's name for it is "partial 16S ribosomal RNA". It matches the Rfam family "Bacterial small subunit ribosomal RNA", at positions 524 to 776 of the family's 1533-position model. The record is from RNAcentral.